GACGAACGCUGGUGGCGUGCUUAACACAUGCAAGUCGAACGGACAGACAGAGAGCUUGCUCUCUUGAAGUUAGUGGCGAACGGGUGAGUAACGCGUAAUCAACCUGCCCUUCAGAGGGGGAUAACAACGGGAAACCGUUGCUAAUACCGCGUACGAUUCAUGAACGGCAUCGUUUAUGAAUGAAAGGUGGCCUCUAUGUAUAAGCUAUCGCUGAAGGAGGGGAUUGCGUCUGAUUAGCUAGUUGGAGGGGUAACGGCCCACCAAGGCAAUGAUCAGUAGCCGGUCUGAGAGGAUGAACGGCCACAUUGGGACUGAGACACGGCCCAAACUCCUACGGGAGGCAGCAGUGGGGAAUCUUCCGCAAUGGACGAAAGUCUGACGGAGCAACGCCGCGUGAGCGAUGAAGGUCUUCGGAUUGUAAAGCUCUGUUAAUCGGGACGAAAGAGUUCUGCGUGAAUAAUGCAGAAAAGUGACGGUACCGGAAUAGAAAGCCACGGCUAACUACGUGCCAGCCGCCGCAGUAA
Molecule: ribosomal RNA, 524 nt
Filed under: uncultured bacterium
Lineage: Bacteria
Description: partial 16S ribosomal RNA
Rfam family: Bacterial small subunit ribosomal RNA
Source: RNAcentral